UACGAAGGGGGCUAGCGUUGCUCGGAAUUACUGGGCGUAAAGCGCACGUAGGCGGCUUUCUAAGUCGGGGGUGAAAUCCUGGAGCUCAACUCCAGAACUGCCUUCGAUACUGGAGAGCUCGAGUCCGGGAGAGGUGAGUGGAACUGCGAGCGUAGAGGUGAAAUUCGUAGAUAUUCGCAAGAACACCAGUGGCGAAGGCGGCUCACUGGCCCGGUACUGACGCUGAGGUGCGAAAGCGUGGGGAGCAAACAGG
RNAcentral lists this ribosomal RNA (253 nucleotides) under uncultured bacterium. RNAcentral describes it as "partial 16S ribosomal RNA". It matches the Rfam family "Bacterial small subunit ribosomal RNA", at positions 524 to 776 of the family's 1533-position model. The record is from RNAcentral.